Molecule: ribosomal RNA, 613 nt
Filed under: uncultured bacterium
Lineage: Bacteria
Description: bacterial SSU rRNA
Rfam family: Bacterial small subunit ribosomal RNA
Source: RNAcentral
ACGCUGGCGGCAGGCCUAACACAUGCAAGUCGAGCGGCCGCGGGAAGUAGCUUGCUACUUUGCCGGCGAGCGGCGGACGGGUGAGUAAUGUCUGGGAAACUGCCUGAUGGAGGGGGAUAACUACUGGAAACGGUAGCUAAUACCGCAUGACGUCGCAAGACCAAAGUGGGGGACCUUCGGGCCUCACGCCAUCGGAUGUGCCCAGAUGGGAUUAGCUAGUAGGUGGGGUAAUGGCUCACCUAGGCGACGAUCCCUAGCUGGUCUGAGAGGAUGACCAGCCACACUGGAACUGAGACACGGUCCAGACUCCUACGGGAGGCAGCAGUGGGGAAUAUUGCACAAUGGGCGCAAGCCUGAUGCAGCCAUGCCGCGUGUGUGAAGAAGGCCUUAGGGUUGUAAAGCACUUUCAGCGAGGAGGAAGGCGUUGUGGUUAAUAGCUGCAACGAUUGACGUUACUCGCAGAAGAAGCACCGGCUAACUCCGUGCCAGCAGCCGCGGUAAUACGGAGGGUGCAAGCGUUAAUCGGAAUUACUGGGCGUAAAGCGCACGCAGGCGGUUUGUUAAGUCAGAUGUGAAAUCCCCGAGCUUAACUUGUGACUGCAUUUGAAACUGG